Molecule: ribosomal RNA, 520 nt
Filed under: uncultured Glomus
Lineage: Eukaryota; Fungi; Glomeromycota; Glomeromycetes; Glomerales; Glomeraceae
Description: SSU rRNA
Rfam family: Eukaryotic small subunit ribosomal RNA
Source: RNAcentral
AGCAGCCGCGGUAAUUCCAGCUCCAAUAGCGUAUAUUAAAGUUGUUGCAGUUAAAAAGCUCGUAGUUGAAUUUCGGGACCAAUUUGUUGGUCGUGCCUCGGUACGUACUGGUAUUAUUGGUUUCUCCCUUCUGAAGAACCAUGAUGCCAUUAAUUUGGUGUCGUGGGGAAUCAGGACUGUUACUUUGAAAAAAUUAGAGUGUUUAAAGCAGGCAUACGCUUGAAUACAUUAGCAUGGAAUAAUGAAAUAGGACGUUUGAUUCUAUUUUGUUGGUUUCUAGGAUCGACGUAAUGAUUAAUAGGGAUAGUUGGGGGCAUUAGUAUUCAAUUGUCAGAGGUGAAAUUCUUGGAUUUAUUGAAGACUAACUACUGCGAAAGCAUUUGCCAAGGAUGUUUUCAUUAAUCAAGAACGAAAGUUAGGGGAUCGAAGACGAUCAGAUACCGUCGUAGUCUUAACCAUAAACUAUGCCGACUAGGGAUCGGAUGAUGUUAAUUUUUAAUGACUCAUUCGGCACCUUACG